AUGCCUGAAGAACAGCUGACGAACACUUCUGAGGAGCUGAACCGGCUGUCCUUUCGCAGACAGCAGCUGAUGGACAAACGCAACAUCCUGGCAAUGCUCAUCCAGUUCAAGCGAAACAACGGCCAAAAUGAGCAACAGUAUUCCAGAGAGACCGAAGAACUUAAAGAAAUUGAUGAGCAGCUUAACAUUCUCUCUGAGAAGAAGAUUCAACUGGAGAAUAAGCAAGGAAGUUUAAGAAGGACUCCUUUAAUAGACACAACGGUUUCAACUGAUGUGAUAAUUAUAGAGAGUCCGCCACCUUAUCCAGCUCCUCGGGUGAUUCUGGAUGUUCAGCAACUACCUCGACACUCAUCUCAGACGCAGUGUCCAUACUGUCACCAGUUUGUAACCACAGACGUAACAACCAAAGCUGGCAGUGCGACCUAUAUUGUGUGUUUAAUUUCCAUUCUUUUUUGUUGUGUGGCUGGUUGCUGUGUAAUCCCGUUCUGCGUGGAUGGAUGCAAAGACGUCGUUCACAAGUGUCCAAAGUGUCGUAGUCACAUAAUAACAUGCAAAAAGCUCUGAGGACUGGAAUUUUUGAAUCCACGUCAUGUGAAAGGUUGCUGGAAUGGUUUCUGGCAAUGACAUCCUGAACGUUUUACAGGGACGGUCCCCAUGGAAUUACCUGGAGUGCCUUUCUUUGAGGAUACGGUGGCGAUAUGUCAUGGUUCUCUCUUUGAGGGGACUGAGCCAACUUUUCGGUUUGCCUUAAAGCUUACCUCCAGAACUAGAAAUACCAAAAGGAAAAUGUAAGACAACUGGAUCUUCAGGGUGACAUCCGUCUUAUGCUAGGAAUUUUAAGAGCAUUCAAUGGCACAUUUGAAUUUUGGGUUGAAUACUCGGUAAAGCACUGAACACUUUCAGGUUCUACAGGAAUGUAAAAAAAUGGAAUCAAGACACAACCAGGGUUUCUGCAGGUCUUCAUUAAACCGUCUGACCAUUUAAGGCCUGAAAACAGCAGAAAGUCAAGAUACAUUUACUUGAUAUGCAAAUAUAAAAUGAAGUCUUGGAAAAACUGCACACUUUUAGUUGUGUUUAUACUUCAUAAAUAUCUGUAACGAUGUGGUUUUUUCAAGCUGAUUUUUUGAGCCUAUUGACUGAUAUUUGGGGGGGGGGGGGUCCAAUCACCGAAGGUGUGUAGGUAAACAUUGUAUCCGUUAGUUUUAUUCUUCUUGUUCCGCUCGAGUCUAUGGCAGCUCAGAACUAUAUUUUCCACUGUCUGAAUUUGCACUCAUGCUUAUUUAGAACUCUAAGGGAUGUUUAUUUAGAUGUAAAAUGCUAUAUUUUAUGAAUGCAUUAGCGUAUCAUUACACAACUCUGUAUGUGUUUUCAUCACCAUGCCCUGAAGGUAUUCAAAACAUUUCAAUCUUAUGGUCAAAAAGUAGCCUAUAAUGAAAUGUCAAACCAUUUUAAUAGCUUUCGAUUAGUAUUGCCU
This 1474-nucleotide long non-coding RNA is filed under the name Carassius auratus (goldfish). Its description in RNAcentral is "lncRNA (ENSCARG00000063164.1)". Lineage: Eukaryota; Metazoa; Chordata; Actinopteri; Cypriniformes; Cyprinidae. The record is from RNAcentral.